AGUUGUCUGAUGCUUCUUUGAACGAUAACGGCGUCCAGCGGAGGACGGGUGAGUAAUGCCUACUAAAUUGCCCUGCUGCGGGGGAUAACCAUUGGUAACGAUGGCUAAUACCGCAUGAGGCCUGGGGGCCACAGAGGGGGACCUUCGGGCCUCUCGCGUCGGGAUAUGCCUAGGGGGGAUUAGCUGGUUGGUGAGGUAAUGGCUCCCCACGGGGACGAUCCCUAGCUGGUCUGAGAGGAUGAUCAGACACAGUGGAACUGACACACGGUCCAGACUCCGGCGGGAGGCGGCAGUGGGGAAUAUUGCAGAAUGGGCGCUAGCCUGAUGCAGACAUGCCGCGUGUGUGAAGAAGGCCUUCGGGUUGUAAAGCACUUUCAGUCGUGAGGAAGGUGGUGUAUGUAAUAGUUGCGUUAUUUGAAGUUAGCGACAAAACAAGCACCGGCUACCUCCGUGCCAGCAGCCGCGGAAAUACGGAGGGAGCUAGCGUUAAUCGGAAUUACUGGGCGUAAAGCGCAUGCAGGUGGUUUGUUCAGUCGGAUGUGAAAGCCCGGGGCACUACCUCGGAAUUGAAUUUAAAACUGGAAGACUAGAGUAAUGUACAGGGGGGUAGAAUUUCAGGUGUAACAUCUGAAAUGCAUAU
RNAcentral lists this ribosomal RNA (640 nucleotides) under Vibrio sp. RNAcentral's name for it is "bacterial SSU rRNA". It matches the Rfam family "Bacterial small subunit ribosomal RNA", at positions 65 to 693 of the family's 1533-position model. Lineage: Bacteria; Pseudomonadati; Pseudomonadota; Gammaproteobacteria; Vibrionales; Vibrionaceae. The record is from RNAcentral.